GUGCCAGCAGCCGCGGUAAUACGUAGGGGGCAAGCGUUGUCCGGAUUUACUGGGUGUAAAGGGUGCUCAGGUGGUCUUGUAAGUCAGAGGUGAAAUCCCGGAGCUUAACUCCGGAACUGCCUUUGAUACUACAAGGCUUGAGUAUGGAAGAGGUUGAUGGAAUUUCGGGUGUAGCAGUGAAAUGCGUAGAUAUCCGAAAGAACACCAGUGGCGAAGGCGGUCAACUGGUCCAUUACUGACACUAAAGCACGAAAGCGUGGGUAGCGAACAGGAUUAGAAACCCCCGUAGUCC
Molecule: ribosomal RNA, 292 nt
Filed under: uncultured bacterium
Lineage: Bacteria
Description: partial 16S ribosomal RNA
Rfam family: Bacterial small subunit ribosomal RNA
Source: RNAcentral